Molecule: long non-coding RNA, 362 nt
Filed under: Zalophus californianus (California sea lion)
Lineage: Eukaryota; Metazoa; Chordata; Mammalia; Carnivora; Otariidae
Description: lncRNA (ENSZCAG00015012942.1)
Source: RNAcentral
CAGAGGUGGCCUGGUCAGACUGCAGCCAGGGCAAGGAGGUGAAUGGCACAGCGCAGACACCAGGGGAAGGCACAGGAGUGGAGGAGCGAACCAGGGAUGGGAGCCGAGUGGCGUGAGCAGGGCCCGGUGUCUCCUCCCCCAAGAUCUUCACUGAAGGCCUACUAUGCACCAGAUGGUGUUAUAAGUCCUGGGGGUAAAGCAGAAUAAGGCAAGCAAACACCUCUGCCUUCGUGGAGCAGACAUAAAGCAACCAAAAAUAUAAUGCAAUAACAUCGAACUUAGAAGUUCUAUUAAAAAUAAACAACAACAGGCUCUCUGCUCCUCCCCGUUCAACAGACAGCCACGUAUUCUGGUGCAGUGCC